This 253-nucleotide ribosomal RNA is filed under the name uncultured bacterium. Its description in RNAcentral is "partial 16S ribosomal RNA". It matches the Rfam family "Bacterial small subunit ribosomal RNA", at positions 524 to 776 of the family's 1533-position model. The record is from RNAcentral.
UACGUAGGGUGCAAGCGUUGUCCGGAAUUAUUGGGCGUAAAGAGCUCGUAGGCGGUUUGUCGCGUCUGCUGUGAAAAUCCAGGGCUUAACCCUGGACCUGCAGUGGGUACGGGCAGACUGGAGUGCGGUAGGGGAGAUCGGAAUUCCCGGUGUAGCGGUGAAAUGCGCAGAUAUCAGGAGGAACACCGGUGGCGAAGGCGGAUCUCUGGGCCGUAACUGACGCUGAGGAGCGAAAGCAUGGGGAGCGAACAGG